This 465-nucleotide ribosomal RNA is filed under the name Vreelandella stevensii. RNAcentral describes it as "partial 16S ribosomal RNA". It matches the Rfam family "Bacterial small subunit ribosomal RNA", at positions 338 to 795 of the family's 1533-position model. Lineage: Bacteria; Pseudomonadati; Pseudomonadota; Gammaproteobacteria; Oceanospirillales; Halomonadaceae. The record is from RNAcentral.
CCUACGGGUGGCUGCAGUGGGGAAUAUUGGACAAUGGGCGAAAGCCUGAUCCAGCCAAGCCGCGUGUGUGAAGAAGGCCUUCGGGUUGUAAAGCACUUUCAGUGGGGAAGAAAGCCUUGGGGCUAAUACCCUCGAGGAAGGACAUCACCCACAGAAGAAGCACCGGCUAACUCCGUGCCAGCAGCCGCGGUAAUACGGAGGGUGCGAGCGUUAAUCGGAAUUACUGGGCGUAAAGCGCGCGUAGGCGGUCUGAUAAGCCGGUUGUGAAAGCCCCGGGCUCAACCUGGGAACGGCAUCCGGAACUGUCAGGCUAGAGUGCAGGAGAGGAAGGUAGAAUUCCCGGUGUAGCAGUGAAAUGCGUAGAGAUCGGGAGGAAUACCAGUGGCGAAGGCGGCCUUCUGGACUGACACUGACGCUGAGGUGCGAAAGCGUGGGUAGCAAACAGGAUUAGAUACCCCUGUAGUC